AGCAGCCGCGGUAAUACCGUAUGUGCCCUACGGGGGAAAGAUUUAUCGCCAUUGGAGCGGCCCGCGUUGGAUUAGGUAGUUGGUGAGGUAAAGGCUCACCAAGCCUACGAUCCAUAGCUGGUCUGAGAGGAUGAUCAGCCACACUGGGACUGAGACACGGCCCAGACUCCUACGGGAUCAGCAGUAGGGAAUCUUGCGCAAUGGGCGAAAGCCUGACGCAGCCAUGCCGCGUGAAUGAUGAAGGUCUUAGGAUUGUAAAAUUCCCUCACCGGGGAAGAUAAUGACGGUACCCGGAGAAGAAGCCCCGGCUAACUUCGUGCCAGCAGCCGCCGUAAUACGAAGGGGGCUAGCGUUGCUCGGAAUUACUGGGCGUAAAGGGCGCGUAGGCGGAUGUUUAAGUCGGGGGUGAAAGCCCGGGGCUCAACCUCGGAAUUGCCUUCGAUACUGGACAUCUUGAGUACGGGAGAGGUGAGUGGAACUCCGAGUGUAGAGGUGAAAUUCGUAGAUAUUCGGAAGAACACCAGUGGCGAAGGCGACUCACUGGCCCGUUACUGACGCUGAGGCG
Molecule: ribosomal RNA, 565 nt
Filed under: uncultured Phenylobacterium sp.
Lineage: Bacteria; Pseudomonadati; Pseudomonadota; Alphaproteobacteria; Caulobacterales; Caulobacteraceae
Description: bacterial SSU rRNA
Rfam family: Bacterial small subunit ribosomal RNA
Source: RNAcentral